RNAcentral lists this ribosomal RNA (440 nucleotides) under uncultured bacterium. RNAcentral's name for it is "partial 16S ribosomal RNA". It matches the Rfam family "Bacterial small subunit ribosomal RNA", at positions 338 to 795 of the family's 1533-position model. The record is from RNAcentral.
CCUACGGGAGGCAGCAGUGGGGGAUAUUGCACAAUGGGGGGAACCCUGAUGCAGCGACGCCGCGUGGGUGAAGAAGCGCCUCGGCGCGUAAAGCCCUGUCAGCAGGGAAGAAAAUGACGGUACCUGAAGAAGAAGCCCCGGCUAACUAAGUGCCAGCAGCCGCGGUAAUACGUAGGGGGCAAGCGUUAUCCGGAUUUACUGGGGGUAAAGGGUGCGCAGACGGCGAUGCAAGCCAGGAGUGAAAUCUCCGGGCCCAACCUCGGGACUGCUUGUGGAACUGCUUGGCUGGAGUGCAGGAGGGGCAGGCGGAAUUCCUGGUGUAGCGGUGAAAUGCGUAGAUAUUAGGAAGAACACCGGUGGCGAAGGCGGCCUGCUGGACUGCAACUGACGUUGAGGCCCGAGAGCGUGGGGAGCAAACAGGAUUAGAUACCCCGGUAGUC